CCUACGGGAGGCAGCAGUGGGGAAUAUUGCUCAAUGGGCGAAACCCUGAAGCAGCAACGCCGCGUGGAGGAUGAAGGUUUUCGGAUUGUAAACUCCUUUUGUUAGAGAAGAUAAUGACGGUAUCUAACGAAUAAGCACCGGCUAACUCCGUGCCAGCAGCCGCGGUAAUACGGAGGGUGCAAGCGUUACUCGGAAUCACUGGGCGUAAAGAGCACGUAGGCGGGAUAGCAAGUCAGAUGUGAAAUCCUAUGGCUUAACCAUAGAACUGCAUUUGAAACUGUUAUUCUAGAGUGUGGGAGAGGUAGGUGGAAUUCGUGGUGUAGGGGUAAAAUCCGUAGAGAUCAAGAGGAAUACUCAUUGCGAAGGCGACCUGCUAGAACAUAACUGACGCUGAGGCGCGAAAGCGUGGGGAGCAAACAGGAUUAGAUACCCCUGUAGUC
RNAcentral lists this ribosomal RNA (440 nucleotides) under uncultured bacterium. RNAcentral's name for it is "partial 16S ribosomal RNA". It matches the Rfam family "Bacterial small subunit ribosomal RNA", at positions 338 to 795 of the family's 1533-position model. The record is from RNAcentral.